Dreissena polymorpha is the source of this 681-nucleotide long non-coding RNA. RefSeq lists it as uncharacterized. The record is from RefSeq and is a predicted model, not a curated record. Lineage: Eukaryota; Metazoa; Mollusca; Bivalvia; Myida; Dreissenidae. The transcript has 4 exons.
GCUGAACACGCAGUAAAACAGUGUUACUAAAACGCAUUAAUGUUUCCAAUGCUCUGUUCAAAUCAGUCAAUGGGAUAAAUGAAGUGUAUUAAUUCGUGUCUAGCCGCGUUAAAGGUCAGGUACAUGUAAGGACAAAAGUGACGUUAAACAGCUACGCCGAAAAAUGAAGGAAUUAAAUAGGAGGAUUUGUGAAGAAAAUGUAGGAAAAUAUGGAAGAUUUUCUAUUAAAAACAGGCAACGUACAGACAUCAACUGCAAAAUGACACUGAAGGAUGCAACAAAAAUUAUUAAAAGUCAAUAAAACGAAAAUUGCAACCGUUAUAAUCAGAAAGAAUAAUCAGUGAUGGCUUCGUUUUGAUGUCUCCAAUUGUUGGGGACUUUGAUUCUGAGCCAUCAUUGCUGACUGGCUGGCUGAUGCUGGUACAAUUGGCGACAAAGCAGAUGUGGCUUAGGCAAUGGAACUACUGCUAAACAAGUCGUUUUAUAUUAAGCAGACUCAGAAGUUAGGGCAGAAAUGUUACGUUCUUGUUCUUCUUCUUAUGCACAGGCCACCUUUAAGAGCAUACCUGACAUGUCAGACCUGGAUGUCGGUGACUCAGACAAUGACCAUGAAUGGAGAUGUCUUGAGACCUUGUGAUACAUUUUUUGUCUGAUAUUAACUGUGAAUAAAACAGAAUCAAG